This 256-nucleotide unclassified non-coding RNA is filed under the name fungal sp. RNAcentral describes it as "partial internal transcribed spacer region". The stretch from base 1 to 46 matches the Rfam family "Eukaryotic small subunit ribosomal RNA", at positions 1786 to 1831 of the family's 1831-position model. The record is from RNAcentral. Lineage: Eukaryota; Fungi.
AAGUCGUAACAAGGUUUCCGUAGGUGAACCUGCGGAAGGAUCAUUAUUGAGUUUUAAGGAUAGAAUUUCCCCAAGAAAUUCUAUCUUACCUUACUCUUUAUCCUUUUGAUAUUUUAUUCUUAGUUGCUUUGGUAGUGUACUCUAAGUACCUGCCAGAGGGUUUACUAUAAACUAUUUUGUCUAACAGUUAGAAUUAUUAGUCUGAUAUUAUUGUUUUAAUAAUUUAAAACUUUCAACAACGGAUCUCUUGGUUCUG